GUACACAAAAAUGCACAUAUUGUGAGCUCGAUGAGUAGGGCGGGACACGUGGUAUCCUGUCUGAAUAUGGGGGGACCAUCCUCCAAGGCUAAAUACUCCUGACUGACCGAUAGUGAACCAGUACCGUGAGGGAAAGGCGAAAAGAACCCCGGCGAGGGGAGUGAAAAAGAACCUGAAACCGUGUACGUACAAGCAGUGGGAGCCUCUUUAUGGGGUGACUGCGUACCUUUUGUAUAAUGGGUCAGCGACUUAUAUUCUGUAGCAAGGUUAACCGAAUAGGGGAGCCGAAGGGAAACCGAGUCUUAACUGGGCGUUAAGUUGCAGGGUAUAGACCCGAAACCCGGUGAUCUAGCCAUGGGCAGGUUGAAGGUUGGGUAACACUAACUGGAGGACCGAACCGACUAAUGUUGAAAAAUUAGCGGAUGACUUGUGGCUGGGGGUGAAAGGCCAAUCAAACCGGGAGAUAGCUGGUUCUCCCCGAAAGCUAUUUAGGUAGCGCCUCGUGAAUUCAUCUCCGGGGGUAGAGCACUGUUUCGGCAAGGGGGUCAUCCCGACUUACCAACCCGAUGCAAACUGCGAAUACCGGAGAAUGUUAUCACGGGAGACACACGGCGGGUGCUAACGUCCGUCGUGAAGAGGGAAACAACCCAGACCGCCAGCUAAGGUCCCAAAGUCAUGGUUAAGUGGGAAACGAUGUGGGAAGGCCCAGACAGCCAGGAUGUUGGCUUAGAAGCAGCCAUCAUUUAAAGAAAGCGUAAUAGCUCACUGGUCGAGUCGGCCUGCGCGGAAGAUGUAACGGGGCUAAACCAUGCACCGAAGCUGCGGCAGCGACACUAUGUGUUGUUGGGUAGGGGAGCGUUCUGUAAGCCUGUGAAGGUGGCCUGUGAGGGUUGCUGGAGGUAUCAGAAGUGCGAAUGCUGACAUAAGUAACGAUAAAGCGGGUGAAAAGCCCGCUCGCCGGAAGACCAAGGGUUCCUGUCCAACGUUAAUCGGGGCAGGGUGAGUCGACCCCUAAGGCGAGGCCGAAAGGCGUAGUCGAUGGGAAACAGGUUAAUAUUCCUGUACUUGGUGUUACUGCGAAGGGGGGACGGAGAAGGCUAUGUUGGCCGGGCGACGGUUGUCCCGGUUUAAGCGUGUAGGCUGGUUUUCCAGGCAAAUCCGGAAAACCAAGGCUGAGGCGUGAUGACGAGGCACUACGGUGCUGAAGCGACAAAUGCCCUGCUUCCAGGAAAAGCCUCUAAGCAUCAGGUAACAUCAAAUCGUACCCCAAACCGACACAGGUGGUCAGGUAGAGAAUACCAAGGCGCUUGAGAGAACUCGGGUGAAGGAACUAGGCAAAAUGGUGCCGUAACUUCGGGAGAAGGCACGCUGAUAUGUAGGUGAAGCGACUUGCUCGUGGAGCUGAAAUCAGUCGAAGAUACCAGCUGGCUGCAACUGUUUAUUAAAAACACAGCACUGUGCAAACACGAAAGUGGACGUAUACGGUGUGACGCCUGCCCGGUGCCGGAAGGUUAAUUGAUGGGGUUAGCGGUAACGCGAAGCUCUUGAUCGAAGCCCCGGUAAACGGCGGCCGUAACUAUAACGGUCCUAAGGUAGCGAAAUUCCUUGUCGGGUAAGUUCCGACCUGCACGAAUGGCGUAAUGAUGGCCAGGCUGUCUCCACCCGAGACUCAGUGAAAUUGAACUCGCUGUGAAGAUGCAGUGUACCCGCGGCAAGACGGAAAGACCCCGUGAACCUUUACUAUAGCUUGACACUGAACAUUGAGCCUUGAUGUGUAGGAUAGGUGGGAGGCUUUGAAGUGUGGACGCCAGUCUGCAUGGAGCCGACCUUGAAAUACCACCCUUUAAUGUUUGAUGUUCUAACGUUGGCCCGUAAUCCGGGUUGCGGACAGUGUCUGGUGGGUAGUUUGACUGGGGCGGUCUCCUCCUAAAGAGUAACGGAGGAGCACGAAGGUUGGCUAAUCCUGGUCGGACAUCAGGAGGUUAGUGCAAUGGCAUAAGCCAGCUUGACUGCGAGCGUGACGGCGCGAGCAGGUGCGAAAGCAGGUCAUAGUGAUCCGGUGGUUCUGAAUGGAAGGGCCAUCGCUCAACGGAUAAAAGGUACUCCGGGGAUAACAGGCUGAUACCGCCCAAGAGUUCAUAUCGACGGCGGUGUUUGGCACCUCGAUGUCGGCUCAUCACAUCCUGGGGCUGAAGUAGGUCCCAAGGGUAUGGCUGUUCGCCAUUUAAAGUGGUACGCGAGCUGGGUUUAGAACGUCGUGAGACAGUUCGGUCCCUAUCUGCCGUGGGCGCUGGAGAACUGAGGGGGGCUGCUCCUAGUACGAGAGGACCGGAGUGGACGCAUCACUGGUGUUCGGGUUGUCAUGCCAAUGGCACUGCCCGGUAGCUAAAUGCGGAAGAGAUAAGUGCUGAAAGCAUCUAAGCACGAAACUUGCCCCGAGAUGAGUUCUCCCUGACUCCUUGAGAGUCCUGAAGGAACGUUGAAGACGACGACGUUGAUAGGCCGGGUGUG
This 2511-nucleotide ribosomal RNA is filed under the name Escherichia coli. RNAcentral describes it as "partial 23S ribosomal RNA". It matches the Rfam family "Bacterial large subunit ribosomal RNA", at positions 375 to 2869 of the family's 2925-position model. Lineage: Bacteria; Pseudomonadati; Pseudomonadota; Gammaproteobacteria; Enterobacterales; Enterobacteriaceae. The record is from RNAcentral.